Molecule: small nuclear RNA, 207 nt
Filed under: Triticum aestivum (bread wheat)
Lineage: Eukaryota; Viridiplantae; Streptophyta; Magnoliopsida; Poales; Poaceae
Also listed under: 1 other name
Description: snRNA U2
Rfam family: U2 spliceosomal RNA
About the family: U2 is a small nuclear RNA (snRNA) component of the spliceosome (involved in pre-mRNA splicing). Complementary binding between U2 snRNA (in an area lying towards the 5' end but 3' to hairpin I) and the branchpoint sequence (BPS) of the intron results the bulging out of an unpaired adenosine, on the BPS, which initiates a nucleophilic attack at the intronic 5' splice site, thus starting the first of two transesterification reactions that mediate splicing.
Source: Rfam by way of RNAcentral
AUAUCUUUCUCGGCCUUUUGGCUAUGAUCAAGUAUAGUAUCUGUUCUUAUCAGUUUAAUAUCUGAUAUGAUAUAAUAUGUGGGCCAUGUGCCUACAAUGAUAUUAAAUUUAUUUUUUAUGAGGGAGGGGCCACCACAAUGGCUUGCCAUUGGGUCUUUUAGGUGUCUUCUAGUGCGUUGUAUUACUGCCUGGGCAGGCGCACCCCAA